Molecule: long non-coding RNA, 689 nt
Organism: Hippocampus comes (tiger tail seahorse)
Lineage: Eukaryota; Metazoa; Chordata; Actinopteri; Syngnathiformes; Syngnathidae
Exons: 2
Source: RefSeq, a predicted model, not a curated record
CCCGCAACCCUUGUGAGGAUAAACAGAUUAGAAAAUGGAUGGAUGGAUGCAAUGGGAUUGGGCCAUCGAAUUGGGUCACUUGAACCUUGAAGUGUGAAUCUUGAAAUGACCCGAGGGGGGUAAAUAAGCUUUUUUUUAAAUUUUCUGUUGAUAUAUUAUUUACGUUUUUCUUAACCACACACACACACACACACACACACACACACACACACACUAUAUGUACCAAGCAAGUAUCAUACAACUUUGUCGCUUCCAAAAGGUGAGGAAAUCCAUACUUUAAACUUAUGUUGAAAUUUGUCAUUUGUAAUGUAAAAUAUGAUUAUUUCUGUCCAAAAAGUGUCACGUUUGUUUCAAUGUCAAAUGGCCAUAAUAUUGUGACUGGUUAUUUGUUUACAGUUUGAAAUGCCCCAAAAGUUGCCUCGAUGUGAUACAAGAGUGAAACACAGUGUUCCGAUUGUUUUGUGCCUUUCUUUGCAACAGCUAAGCACAGUUUUUAACUGCGUAGGGUCUUUUGGGGGUUGAGGGGGCAAUGAGUGUUUCCCACAGUGUCACAUUGCCGCCUUUCAGGUGGCAAACAAGCGGAGUGGAACCGUGAAGGGAGCUUUUCUUUGCAUGACAUAAUACACGAUGUGUUCUUCUGUUCAACCGGGCAGAGCAACACCGAAUUCAUACUGUUCAAAAAAAAAAAA